UGAAGAGGUCUCUGCUCUUCAAGUACUCAAGGGCUUUGUGAUAGGAAUCGUCAGAAGAAAUCCAUGCAGGGUAAGUGACCUUGCUCAGUUGAAAGGUUUAAGGAAAUUGAGCAUAAGAAUAGGGAAUGAAGCUUUAGCAGAAGGGGAGUUUUCAAACUUGAAGGACUUCAAGGCUCUUCAAAUUCUUGUGAUAUCUUGGGAAAUAGUUUUGUCGCAGUCGAGUACAGAAGCUGCUCUGAGGUCAUUCUCAGUCCCACCAAAUCUAAAGAAACUUGAUCUCAGAUGUAUCCCUCUAGUGACCUGGCCUGAAUGGUUAGAGCCUGGCAGAUUGAUAUCUUUGGAAAAACUUUACAUCAGGGGAGGUGAACUCAGCAGCAUAGAGCGCCAUGAUGAAAAAAGUUGGAAAGUUAAAAUUUUACGUUUGAAGUAUCUGAAGAACUUGAAAAUUGACGAGCCAGAAUUAUGAUUAAUGUUUCCUGAGAUGGAGUACUUGGAGAAAGUCAAAUGCAACAAGAUUGGUCGAGAUGAAUAUGAUCCAGAUAUCACAUGGAACAAAAAGCAGCAUGAGCAAUUGUAGCAACUACUUGAGUCUCAAACUGCUCCAGACUCUCCAUGCGCUAAGUGUUUGCAUGGUGUAAUUUGAGGCAAAGUUUGACGCGAUGCCCAUUUAAUGCUGUGAUUGAUCUUGUUCAUGGCUUGCUCCCAGUGGUGACUCAGAUCAGGGGAAAAAAGCUUUAUGUUUUAUGGAUCCAUUUUCCGGGCUUUUCAAUUUUCCUUUUGCAUUAGAAUUUCUCUACUGUUGCAGGCUCCUGGAAGUUAACCAUAUCUGGAAGUGAAUGCAAUUGCAGCUGCCUAAUCUGCCUUGUAGUUUGUAAUAGGCUAUUUAUGAAAAAGUAUGAGGCCUGAUUUAACUGUAUAUUUGCAUUAUUUACCUGAGACAAUGUGGAAUUUGACAUUCAUCAAUCAUCUUGAUCAGACUUGCAUCACAAA
This is a non-coding RNA of Coffea arabica (coffee), 990 nucleotides long. Lineage: Eukaryota; Viridiplantae; Streptophyta; Magnoliopsida; Gentianales; Rubiaceae. The record is from RefSeq and is a predicted model, not a curated record.